GGAAUUGACGGAAGGGCACCACCAGGAGUGGAAUCUGCGGCUUAAUUUGACUCAACGCGGGAAAACUCACCAGGUCAGGACACGGUAAGGAUUGACGGACUGAAGGCUCUUUCUCGAUUCCGUGGAAAGUGGUGCAUGGCCGUUUUUGGUUGGUGGAUCGAUCCGUCUGGUUAAUUCCGUUAACGAACGAGACCUCGGCACUCCGAAUAGCGCGGCGGACGUCGCGGCCUCCGGGCCGUCUUCCGCACGAGCUUCUUAGAGGGACCGUCCCCCGCCGGGGGAAGGAGGUGCGAGGCAACGACAGGUCUGUGAUGCCCUUAGAUGUUCUGGGCCGCACGCGCAUUACACUGACGCGUCCAACGGGUGACUCCCGACCCGAAGGGGCCGGGGAAUCCGCAAGGCGCGUCGUGAUGGGGAUUGAACGUUGCAAUUGUUGUUCACGAACGAGGAAUUCCUAGUAGGCGCGGGUCAUCAACCCGCGCCGAUUACGUCCCUGCCCUUUGUACACACC
Molecule: ribosomal RNA, 511 nt
Filed under: uncultured eukaryote
Lineage: Eukaryota
Description: bacterial SSU rRNA
Rfam family: Eukaryotic small subunit ribosomal RNA
Source: RNAcentral